CAGUAGCCGCGGUAAUACGAAGGGUGCAAGCGUUACUCGGAAUUACUGGGCGUAAAGCGCACGCAGGCGGUUUGUUAAGUCAGAUGUGAAAUCCCCGAGCUUAACUUGGGAACUGCAUUUGAAACUGGCAAGCUAGAGUCUUGUAGAGGGGGGUAGAAUUCCAGGUGUAGCGGUGAAAUGCGUAGAGAUCGGGAGGAACAUCAGUGGCGAAGGCGGCCAUCUGGGACAACACUGACGCUGAAGCACGAAAGCGUGGGGAGCAAACAGGAUUAGAUACCCGCGUAGUCCCUGUCUCUUAUAC
Molecule: ribosomal RNA, 301 nt
Filed under: uncultured bacterium
Lineage: Bacteria
Description: partial 16S ribosomal RNA
Rfam family: Bacterial small subunit ribosomal RNA
Source: RNAcentral